Molecule: long non-coding RNA, 1077 nt
Organism: Oncorhynchus keta (chum salmon)
Lineage: Eukaryota; Metazoa; Chordata; Actinopteri; Salmoniformes; Salmonidae
Exons: 4
Source: RefSeq, a predicted model, not a curated record
CAGUGUGGCUUCAGGAGAAAGACUGGGAGAUGAGGCAGUUUGGAUUGGAAAGGCAGUGUGGCUUCAGGAGAAAGGCUGGGAGAUGAGGCAGUUUGGAUUGAAAGGCAGUGUUGCUUCAGGAGAAAGGCUGGGAGAUGAGGCAGUUUGGAUUGGAAAGGCAGUGUGGCUUCAGGAGAAAGACUGGGAGAUGAGGCAGUUUGGAUUGGAAAGGCAGUGUGGCUUCAGGAGAAAGGCUGGGAGAUGAGGCAGUUUGGAUUGGAAAGGCAGUGUGGCUUCAGGAGAAAGGCUGGGAGAUGAGGCAGUUUGGAUUGGAAAGGCAGUGUGGCUUCAGGAGAAAGGCUGGGAGAUGAGGCAGUUUGGAUUGGAAAGGCAGUGUGGCUUCAGGAGAAAGGCUGGGAGAUGAGGCAGUUUGGAUUGGAAAGGCAGUGUUUCUUCAGGAGAAAGGCUGGGAGAUGAGGCAGUUUGGAUUGGAAAGGCAGUGUUUCUUCAGGAGAAAGGCUGGGAGAUGAGGCAGUUUGGAUUGGAAAGGCAGUGUUUCUUCAGGAGAAAGGCUGGGAGAUGAGGCAGUUUGGAUUGGAAAGGCAGUGUUUCUUCAGGAGAAAGGCUGGGAGAUGAGGCAGUUUGGAUUGGAGAGGCAGUGUUUCUUCAGGAGAAAGGCUGGGAGAUGAGGCAGUUUGGAUUGGAAAGGCAGUGUUGCUUCAGGAGAAAGGCUGGGAGAUGAGGCAGUUUGGAUUGAAAGGCAGUGUUGCUUCAGGUGAAAGGCUGGGAGAUGAGGCAGUUUGGAUUGGAAAGGCAGUGUUUCUUCAGGUGAAAGGCUGGGAGAUGAGGCAGUUUGGAUUGGAAAGGCAGUGUUUCUUCAGGAGAAAGGCUGGGAGAUGAGGCAGUUUGGAUUGGAAAGGCAGUGUUUCUUCAGGUGAAAGGCUGGGAGAUGAGGCAGUUUGGAUUGAAAGGCAGUGUUUCUUCAGGAGAAAGGCUGGGAGAUGAGGCAGUUUGGAUUGAAAGGCAGUGUUUCUUCAGGUGAAAGGCUGGGAGAUGAGGCAGUUUGGAUUGAAAGGCAGUGUUUCUUCAGGUGAAAGG